RNAcentral lists this ribosomal RNA (468 nucleotides) under uncultured bacterium. RNAcentral's name for it is "partial 16S ribosomal RNA". It matches the Rfam family "Bacterial small subunit ribosomal RNA", at positions 28 to 507 of the family's 1533-position model. The record is from RNAcentral.
GACGAACGCUGGCGGCGUGCUUAACACAUGCAAGUCGAACGGAAAGGCCCUGCUUUUGUGGGGUGCUCGAGUGGCGAACGGGUGAGUAACACGUGAGUAACCUGCCCUUGACUUUGGGAUAACUUCAGGAAACUGGGGCUAAUACCGGAUAGGAGCUCCUGCUGCAUGGUGGGGGUUGGAAAGUUUCGGCGGUUGGGGAUGGACUCGCGGCUUAUCAGCUUGUUGGUGGGGUAGUGGCUUACCAAGGCUUUGACGGGUAGCCGGCCUGAGAGGGUGACCGGCCACAUUGCGACUGCGAUACGGCCCAGACUCCUACGGUAGGCAGCAGUGGGGAAUAUUGCACAAUGGGCGGAAGCCUGAUGCAGCAACGCCGCGUGCGGGAUGACGGCCUUCGGGUUGUAAACCGCUUUCGCCUGUGACGAAGCGUGAGUGACGGUAAUGGGUAAAGAAGCACCGGCUAACUACGUG